Molecule: ribosomal RNA, 403 nt
Filed under: uncultured bacterium
Lineage: Bacteria
Description: partial 16S ribosomal RNA
Rfam family: Bacterial small subunit ribosomal RNA
Source: RNAcentral
GACGAACGCUGGCGGCGUGCCUAAUACAUGCAAGUCGAACGCACUGGGGACGGGUGAGUAACACGUGGGUAACCUCCCAUCAGAGGGGAUAACACUUGGAAACAGGUGCUAAACCGCUAUCGAUGGAUGGACCCGCGGGGCAUUAUCUAGUUGGUGAGGUAACGGCUAACCAAGGCCACGAUGCAUAGCCGGCCUGAGAGGAUGAUCAGCCACACUGGGACUGAGACACGGCCCAGACUCCUACGGGAGGCAGCAGUGGGGAAUCUUGGACAAUGGGCGAAAGUCUGACCGAGCAACGCCGCGUGAGUGAAGAAGGUUUUCGGAUUGUAAAACACUGUUGUUAGGGAAGCGGUAUCUAACCAGAAAGCAACGGCUAACUACGUGCCAGCAGCCGCGGUAAUUC